RNAcentral lists this ribosomal RNA (1440 nucleotides) under uncultured fungus. Its description in RNAcentral is "eukaryotic LSU rRNA". The stretch from base 807 to 1440 matches the Rfam family "Eukaryotic large subunit ribosomal RNA", at positions 1 to 649 of the family's 3401-position model. The record is from RNAcentral. Lineage: Eukaryota; Fungi.
AAGUCGUAACAAGGUUUCGUUUAGCGAUAGAUCCUUCUAAAGCACGCGGAGACCAUGCACCCUUUUGGGAGGCAGCGCGACAGUAAAGAAAGCUGACCGUUCGCAAGUUGGCGGAAGCCGGCAACACGAUCGAACUGACGGGGACCUCCUAAAGCCUACGGCACCAUUCUACCGCUGAAAGGCGAUAGCGACCGGUAAAAGCCCGUAGGAUAUAGCAAUGGACAAUCCGCAGCGAAGACCCUAACGGCUCCGGCCUAUGGGUACCGUUCACAGACUAAGUGGUUGUGGGCAGCCGUGCUGUCUAAGAUAUAGUCGAGCCCGCCGCGAAAGCUGCGGGGUAUUGUCCGUAGGUGAACCUGCGGAAGGAUCAUUACAGAGUUCAUGCCCUCACGGGUAGACCUCCCACCCUUGAAUUAUACUACUUUGUUGCUUUGGUAGCCUUCAUAGGCUGCCAGAGGAUAAACCAAACUCUUUUAAUAUGUCGUCUGAGUACUAUAUAAUAGUUAAAACUUUCAACAACGGAUCUCUUGGUUCUGGCAUCGAUGAAGAACGCAGCGAAAUGCGAUAAGUAAUGUGAAUUGCAGAAUUCGGUGAAUCAUCGAAUCUUUGAACGCACAUUGCGCCCCUUGGUAUUCCGGGGGGCAUGCCUGUUCGAGCGUCAUUAUAACCCUCAAGCCUAGCUUGUGUUGGAGCGUGCCUCGGGCGGCUCCCCAAAAAUCAGUGGCAGUGCCUCUCGGCUCUAAGCGUAGUAAUACNCUCGCUAUAGAGUCGGUCGGUGACGCGCCAGAACCCUAAUUUUCUAUGGUUGACCUCGGAUCAGGUAGGGAUACCCGCUGAACUUAAGCAUAUCAAUAAGCGGAGGAAAAGAAACCAACAGGGAUUGCCUCAGUAACGGCGAGUGAAGCGGCAACAGCUCAAAUUUGAAAUCUGGCUCUUUCAGGGUCCGAGUUGUAAUUUGUAGAAGAUGCUUUGGGUGUGGCUCCGGUCCAAGUUCCUUGGAACAGGACGUCAUAGAGGGUGAGAAUCCCGUAUGUGACUGGUCGCCUUCGUCCGUGUAAAGCUCUUUCGACGAGUCGAGUUGUUUGGGAAUGCAGCUCAAAAUGGGUGGUAAAUUUCAUCUAAAGCUAAAUAUUGGCCAGAGACCGAUAGCGCACAAGUAGAGUGAUCGAAAGAUGAAAAGCACUUUGGAAAGAGAGUUAAACAGUACGUGAAAUUGUUGAAAGGGAAGCGCUUGCAACCAGACUUGCGCGCGGUUGAUCAUCCGGUGUUCUCACCGGUGCACUCUGCCGUGCUCAGGCCAGCAUCGGUUUUGGUGGUUGGAUAAAGGCCUUAGGAAUGUAGCUUCUCUCGGGGAGUGUUAUAGCCUUCGGUGCAAUGCAGCCUACCGGGACCGAGGACCGCGCUUCGGCUAGGAUGCUGGCGUAAUGGUUGUAAGCGACC